Molecule: ribosomal RNA, 34 nt
Filed under: Amanita pseudoporphyria
Lineage: Eukaryota; Fungi; Basidiomycota; Agaricomycetes; Agaricales; Amanitaceae
Description: partial 28S ribosomal RNA
Source: RNAcentral
CGACCUCAAAUCAGGUAGGACUACCCGCUGAACU